UAGGAAGUGAGGCGUGUCUCUGCCCGG
This 27-nucleotide non-coding RNA is filed under the name Homo sapiens (human). The record is from RNAcentral. Lineage: Eukaryota; Metazoa; Chordata; Mammalia; Primates; Hominidae.